Molecule: long non-coding RNA, 207 nt
Filed under: Mytilus galloprovincialis (Mediterranean mussel)
Lineage: Eukaryota; Metazoa; Mollusca; Bivalvia; Mytilida; Mytilidae
Source: RNAcentral
GGCUUGAUAAGGUGUAUAGGGAUCUCUCUAUAAUAAAAAAAAAAAAACCCAAAAGACUGUAAAAAAAACUUUCAAUAUCUUGAUUGUCUGUGUUGUUGGGUUGUUGUCUCAUCAAUAUUUACUCUUAAUCCCUUUUUUCGAACCCAAAGGGUAGACUUGAGCACAGAAAUAUUGUCCACUCUUGACUUCAUCAGCUCGACUUUCGAC